RNAcentral lists this ribosomal RNA (1669 nucleotides) under Triticum aestivum (bread wheat). RNAcentral's name for it is "partial small subunit ribosomal RNA". Lineage: Eukaryota; Viridiplantae; Streptophyta; Magnoliopsida; Poales; Poaceae. The record is from RNAcentral.
GAAAAAACACACCUCCUACACGGCCGCCGCCCCUCCUCCACGGCCGGCGCGCCACCACACCCGUGGCUGGAGCGCAUCCUCCCGCAUGGCCGUCUCCCCUCCUCCCCCGCGGCCACCUACCCUCCUCCCCAACGGCUGGCGAGCCGCCUUCCGCGCGACUCGGGCUCCUUCCCCGCGGCCAGCGCGCCACCUCCCACGCGGCCACCUACCCUCCUCCCCAACAGCCCGCGCGCCGCCUUCCGCGCGAUGGGGCACCUCCUCCGCCAUGGCCGGCGAGCCUCCUCCCGCCGCCAUCCUCGGAUCCAGCCACAGCAGGGCCGCGGAACCCCGUGUGCUGUUCGCCGGGCCCUGAAUCCCCGUGCGCCGCCGCAGGGCCCUGGAUCCCGAGCGCCGCCGCCGCCGGGGUCCUGGCUCGCCUGCUCCAUCACCGCUGGGAUAUCGCCUCCCUCAUGCGCCGCUGGGACCCCCACACGCCGUCGCUGACCGCACCACCCCAUCGCCCGCGCUUCCCCUCUUCCCCGAGCUCCCCUGAGCGGCCCUGCUCCUGAGCCACACCUUGCCGGACUGCGGGGCUCAUGCCACAGCACCUCCCCUCCCCCAAGUUCGUGUGCCACUACGCGAGCUCCAUCCCCACCGCCGGCCAACUGCCGUCGCUAUCGCGCGUGGACAGCAGCGACGGCCGAAUCCGACCUUCCCAGGCAUCACCUUUCUUCCUUCUCUCAUGUUGAUGUUCUUUGGCCAAUUUACUGAGCAGCGCCGGCCUUUGCACUAUGGUACUUGUUCUAUUUUGCUUCAGAGUUAUGUUCGCAUCUGAAUUUUCUUGCUAGGUUCCAAAAGCAAGUGGUAUGCACUGCCUUUAGUCAGGUCACGGCCUCCGAUGCUGCUAACCUCCCCACGUUCCUUGUCGCCUGCUUGUGUGUGCCUGUCAAUGAAGGAAAAACACACAUGGGCAAGGUUAUAUCUACAGGCAAAAGUUCAGAAUUUCAGAAAGAAGAUGGAGUGAGGUUCAACUUCUUUUAGCAUUUUUAAUUCUCAGUACAAAAAGACUGCUCAGAAAGAAGAAGUAAUCGCAGGCUGCUCGUCUUGUUUGAUGUUCAAAUGUUCAGUUGUUUUGUGCCUUUUUUGCUCUCCAGAAUCCUACACUCCUGUCGCUCGGCAGGUCACGGCCUCCUCUAGGUGCAGGUCGUGGUGUCCAUGUCGUCACUGCUCCAGCGCAUCAUGCUUCCAUACAUGGUGGUGUUUUGGACUGGAGCAAGACGGAACGAGGCAGUGUGUGUACGUACUUUCUAAGAGUUGUCGACCACCGCAUGCGCCUCAAUACAAACUUCCUGUAGCAUGUGUACGAGUUUACCCACAGUGAUUUUUGUCAACAUGAUCUUGGGGAUGCAGACCUAAACAAAUAAACUUGCUCGUUGGUCGAAACUAAUACUAAUCACAUUAGAUUGUAGUUGUUGCGUGUGGCAUUGUUGCUUCUUUGGAUUUGUUGUGGCAAGGAAGAAAAAGAAGAUGGGGAGAGGACAUGUGGUGGUUAGUGGAUAGGAAAUGUGUGAAGAAGAAAAACCAUACCGCUUCAAUUGGACAUUUAUUUUUAUCCAUUUGGGUGAAAAAAUGUUGUCCACUAUAUGUCUGUAAUUAUGGUUAUAACAAAUGAAUUUAUUUAUUUUACUUU